Molecule: ribosomal RNA, 382 nt
Filed under: uncultured bacterium
Lineage: Bacteria
Description: partial 16S ribosomal RNA
Rfam family: Bacterial small subunit ribosomal RNA
Source: RNAcentral
UGGGGAAUUUUGGAUCAAUGGGCGAAAGCCUGAUCCAGCAAUGCCGCGUGUGUGAAGAAGGCCUUCGGGUUGUAAAGCACUUUUGUCCGGAAAGAAAUUCUUGGCUCUAAUACAGUCGGGGAGUGACGGUACCGGAAGAAUAAGCACCGGCUAACUACGUGCCAGCAGCCGCGGUAAUACGUAGGGUGCAAGCGUUAAUCGGAAUUACUGGGCGUAAAGCGUGCGCAGGCGGUUUGCUAAGACCGAUGUGAAAUCCCCGGCGUCACCUAGGGCACUGGCAUUGGUGCAUGCUGGGCAGGCUAGAGUAUGGCAGAGGGGGUGAAAUUCCACGUGUAGCAGUGAAAUGCGUAGAGAUGUGGAGGAAUACCGAUGGCGAAGGCAG